CCGUGCCUUUUUCUUUACAACAUCAUGUAUUGGUCUUAAAAUUACUCCCAAAUGUGGCACAAAGCUCUCCAAAAACCCAUUAGUCCCACAGUCGUUAUAUGCAUGCGGCAACUGUCAAAAUGUUAAUCAAAUCUGAUGGAUGACCGGAAGUCCCGCCCCUUUCCUCUGACGUCAUUAAUGUGACCUUUCUUUGAACUCGCCCACACACCCCUUCCUGUUUUUUCCUCAGGAAACGGCAAAGAUCCGAUUGCAGGAUGUCUGUCCCUUCUUUGAAGCCGCCCCCACCCACCUGUUUGCCCCAGGAAACUGUCAAGAGCAGACUUGAUGGAUGGGUGCUCCCUCUUUGACCACCGGCCAACCCUCUUCCGAAGACAAGUUGAGGCACAUCCGGGCAAGUUUCUAUCCAGACCCUGCCGGACCAAGCUACAUGUCCCCAGGCAUGAAGGCCCUGCCUAGGACCCCUCCGGUCAGGCAGCCCCUGAGGGCGGGGGACACCACAUGUUGGUUGAAUCCUUCACUUCCAGGCACACUUCUUCCAAGGACAUACACACAUGCUCCUGCCUAUAUCGCUUUGGUUGACGCCUGAGAGCAGACAGCCUCUGUGCUGAAAAAAGCUGCCAGGCACGCGGCUGCGAGAUGCCCCAGCGGCUGAAGCUCUAAGCCUACUCGCCGGCAAGGGUUUGUAUUUCGAAAUAAACGCUGACCGGAUAUUUCUGUCUACACAGAGAAUCUCAGAGGAGCAGACAAACACCUCUCUCCCUCGCCCUGCACGGGUCUAUAGCAGGAAGUUGCAUACUGUAUGAACCGGAGCUCCGCUGACAGAUAGUGUCAGACACAGGCCAGGAAACGGCCUGACCCCUUUAACCUGCUGUGUUCUGCGGGCGCAUGCUUGUCAACCCCCCGCCCCCCAGUACGAGAGUGCGCAGAUCCUGUGUCCGGGAGAACAAGUUAUGUGUGUAACUUUUAAAGUCAAGGGAAUUAAAAAUCACCCACUCAGUUAAAUAAGAGGCAACAGGGACCUUUUAAAGAACGUUUGAGACGUCUUAAAAUCUAGCCUCGGAUGUAUAUUUUGUAUAUCUUAAAAAAGCCCUCUUCCAUCCAUUAUGUCGGAUCAUCCGGUGGACAAUGUGAAAGCGCCCUUACGGAGAGGCAUGCAGCGAUUUAAAGAAAUCAACUGCGUGCAAAGGUGACUUUAAAAAAAAA
Polypterus senegalus (gray bichir) is the source of this 1203-nucleotide long non-coding RNA. RefSeq lists it as uncharacterized. NCBI's taxonomy places the organism in Eukaryota, Metazoa, Chordata, Cladistia, Polypteriformes, Polypteridae. The transcript has 2 exons. The record is from RefSeq and is a predicted model, not a curated record.